CUGUACAAACCAGUCAAUGCUGAGGUGCAGAAGGUGACCUUAACUUCACAGCAGGAAAAAGAGAAAGUGAGGGAAAGAGAUAGAGAAGCAUGAUGGCUGAAUUCGGAUGGAUUAAAAUAUCUUUUUUACUGACACCAGUGCUUCAGAUUACAGCAGUAACUGGACAAAGUUCAGACUCGUUGAUUGUCAGAGCUGGAGAUGACGUCACUUUGCCUUGUGAAAAUGUGAUAAAUGAUCACCAUAGCUGUGUCAGUACAACAUGGAUCUUCAGUGGUUCCAGAAACACAGUAACACUGUUUGAAAAUGGGCAGAUUCACAAAGAUGCCAUGGCUAAAUCAGACAGACUGAGUGUUACAGCGAACUGUUUUCUGGUUAUAAAGAAGGUCACAGUCGAGGAUGUUGGUCGUUACGUCUGCAGGCAGUUUAUAUCAGGACAACAACAAGAUCCAGACUCUCUGGUUGAUUUGUCUGUUAUUACCAUGACUGAACAUCAGACGAAUGAGAGAGUCAUUUGGUUCUGCGCUGUGUUGACAUAUGAAGGCUGUGGACACUCAGUGAAGUGGCUGUAUGAUGACGAUGAUGAUAAGAUUGACACUGAGAUAUCACAGUAUACCUGUGCAUCCAGUGUGGCAUUUACAAUUCCUCAUCUCAAGCAGAAGUCAAACUAUUAUGAGUUAUGUAAGUGUAACAUGACGGAUGAUAAGAGAGGACAAACGCUGCUGUGUUAUGUUGGUCCCCAGUCCUCAUGUGAGAAAACAGGAAGCAAAGGGAAUAAUAAGACUGCAGAGGAUGACACUUCAACACAAGGUAGUGACUUAACAUCUCUCUCUCUCUCUCUCUCUCUCUCUCUCUCUCCCUCCUGCUCUCUCUCCUCUCUCUCUCAUCUGUUUCUCUCUCUCUCUCCUCUGUUCGUCUCUCUCUCUAACCCUCCCUCUCUCUCUCUCUCUCUCCUGUUUCUCUCUUCUCCUUCUCUCUCUCUCUCUCUCCUCUGUUCCUCUCUCUCUCUCUCCUCUGUCUCUCUCGCUCUCUCCUCUGUCUCUCUCGCUGUCUCUCUCUCCUCUGUUUCUCACCCCCCCCCCUCUCACUCUUUCUCUCUAUCUCCCUCCUGCUCUCUCUCUCAUCUGUUCCUCUCUCUCUCUCUCUCUCUCUCCUCGUUCUGAGGCGCCGGCAUGGCGUCCAGCAGCGGAUUCUCCAGGCUGACUCGGAAGCACGGCAUUAAAACCGGAGCCGGCUCUCCGUGCAGGGUGGAGGAGGUAGCACUGACUAGUUUGAUUAUCACUUCAGAGUCCGUGUGUCGAUGAUUUCGAGUACAUCCUCUUUGCGACAUCAUCCACUGUGAAAUGAUUCGGAUGUGGCUAAGAGGGACAUUUGAUUAAGGCCUGUCCGAGCCGCGGUGCCCCGGCAG
RNAcentral lists this long non-coding RNA (1405 nucleotides) under Dicentrarchus labrax (European seabass). RNAcentral describes it as "lncRNA (ENSDLAG00005034853.1)". The record is from RNAcentral. Lineage: Eukaryota; Metazoa; Chordata; Actinopteri; Moronidae.